This 767-nucleotide ribosomal RNA is filed under the name uncultured Actinomyces sp. Its description in RNAcentral is "bacterial SSU rRNA". It matches the Rfam family "Bacterial small subunit ribosomal RNA", at positions 28 to 776 of the family's 1533-position model. The record is from RNAcentral. Lineage: Bacteria; Bacillati; Actinomycetota; Actinomycetes; Actinomycetales; Actinomycetaceae.
GACGAACGCUGGCGGCGUGCUUAACACAUGCAAGUCGAACGGUGAAGGGAUCAGCUUGCUGGUUCUGGAUGAGUGGCGAACGGGUGAGUAACACGUGAGUAACCUGCCCCCUUCUUCUGGAUAACCGCAUGAAAGUGUGGCUAAUACGGGAUAUUCUGGGUCUGUCGCAUGGCGGGUCUGGGAAAGAUGCGCCUUUGGGUGUUUUUGGUGGGGGAUGGGCUCGCGGCCUAUCAGCUUGUUGGUGGGGUGAUGGCCUACCAAGGCGGUGACGGGUAGCCGGCCUGAGAGGGUGGACGGUCACACUGGGACUGAGACACGGCCCAGACUCCUACGGGAGGCAGCAGUGGGGAAUAUUGCACAAUGGGCGCAAGCCUGAUGCAGCGACGCCGCGUGAGGGAUGGAGGCCUUCGGGUUGUAAACCUCUUUCGCCAGUGAAGCAGGCCUGUCCCUUGUGGGUGGGUUGACGGUAGCUGGAUAAGAAGCGCCGGCUAACUACGUGCCAGCAGCCGCGGUAAUACGUAGGGCGCGAGCGUUGUCCGGAAUUAUUGGGCGUAAAGAGCUCGUAGGCGGCUGGUCGCGUCUGUCGUGAAAUCCUCUGGCUUAACUGGGGGCUUGCGGUGGGUACGGGCCGGCUUGAGUGCGGUAGGGGAGACUGGAACUCCUGGUGUAGCGGUGGAAUGCGCAGAUAUCAGAAGAACACCGGUGGCGAAGGCGGGUCUCUGGGCCGUUACUGACGCUGAGGAGCGAAAGCGUGGGGAGCGAACAGG